RNAcentral lists this ribosomal RNA (266 nucleotides) under Mansonella perstans. RNAcentral describes it as "partial small subunit ribosomal RNA". Lineage: Eukaryota; Metazoa; Nematoda; Chromadorea; Rhabditida; Onchocercidae. The record is from RNAcentral.
UUUAAGAAAAUUUUUAAAAUUUGGUUUAGUUGAACUGGAUUAGUACCCAGGUAAUCAAAAUUAAUUAAUUCGGGAGUAAAGUUUUGUUUAAACCGAAAAAAUAUUGACUGACUCUGGAUUUCUUUUUGGAAUAUGUGUAUGGAGAGCCCUCUUUUAUAGUAAAUCUUUUUUUGCACAUGUAUGAUUGUUUAGUUUUUAUUUUAUUUUGUAAUGCUUUAUCUUUAGAUUAAAAACAGAUAUAUAUUUGGCUUAUGGGUUUAUUAAUC